RNAcentral lists this unclassified non-coding RNA (225 nucleotides) under plant metagenome. Its description in RNAcentral is "partial contains small subunit ribosomal RNA, internal transcribed spacer 1, and 5.8S ribosomal RNA". The record is from RNAcentral.
UCUCCGUUGGUGAACCAGCGGAGGGAUCAUUACAGGACUCGCAAGACUCCUACAACCCUGUGAACUUAACUAUAAGCACGUUGCUCCGGCGGGUGUCUCGGAGAGGGUUCUCCCUCCCCGGGGCGCUAAGCCCGCCGGCAGCCUACUAUACUCUGUCUCUUUGCGUUGGCAUCUCGAGUACAAACAAACAAGUUAAAACUUUCAACAACGGAUCUCUUGGUUCUG